UUACAAUCUGGAGCUGUGAUCCUUGGCUGAUGGAAGCCAUUUGAAAGUUACUAUCAACUACAAUUGUGAAAAAUCUUGCAAGAGUGACCACAAAAUUGCUUGGACUAAAUUGAAAACUGAGUCGGCAAGCAAAGCCCAGGCUGGGAACAUAACAGACUUCUACUACUUGGUCUGUUACAAGCCAGAACAUACAGUGCUGUGAGAUUUAUUUCUGAAAAUGGCAUGUUCAUUAUCAUAUUUUUUAGCAAAUGGAAAGAAAAUAAGUGUUCUAAAGCAUUCCAUAAUAAUCUUACCGUGAAAUGUGAGAUGAAAAGCAUUUGUGAACGUGUGUGCUUGUGUGUGUGUGUAGAAAUAGUUUAUCAAAUGAGUGGUUUCCUGUCUUGAUCUGUACAUUUAUUUUCUUCCAUGGAAGGAAAUGGAAAUAAUUGAUCUGCCUCCCAUCAGUACAUAAAAGAGAUUGUCGGCAAUUUUGUUUUCUGCAGGAACACUUACACAUUUGAUGUUGUAGUAAACAGUAAAGAUCACCUACAAAACCUGUAGCAAUCACAAGACUGGGUAGGCACACCCACGGGACUGAUGCAUUCCAUGAUUUGUAAAAUGUGGAUUUCUUUGCUUUCUCUCUCUCUCCCUUUUCUCCUUCUCUCUCUUUUGAGGAUACAGGAUGUCCCUCCAGGUUCUGCAGUCUGGGUUUGAUUAAAUAAUUAUAAACUUCAAGCAGCAGCUCUAUCAUUUACGUUCCUGAACAUGCCAACAUGUGCCUUUUGUGGUGAUGCCAACCAAUACCAAAGCUUCUCUCAUUAUUGUCAUUGAAAAUACAGUGGUUCAACGUUUGUGCUAUUUCCUGGAUUUUGGCGAUAUAAUGUUGCCCAGCAAUUUGCUGUUGGUGCCAACGACACUAAAGAACUUUAUAAUAAAUCCUUUCUAUAUUUACUCAA
Molecule: long non-coding RNA, 935 nt
Organism: Alligator mississippiensis (American alligator)
Lineage: Eukaryota; Metazoa; Chordata; Crocodylia; Alligatoridae
Exons: 2
Source: RefSeq, a predicted model, not a curated record